CUGAGUACGGCGGAACACGUGAAAUUCCGUCGGAAUCCGGGAGGACCAUCUCCCAAGGCUAAAUACUCCCUAGUGACCGAUAGUGAACCAGUACCGUGAGGGAAAGGUGAAAAGCACCCCGGAAGGGGAGUGAAACAGUUCCUGAAACCGUGUGCCUACAAGUAGUUAGAGCCCGUUAAUGGGUGAUAGCGUGCCUUUUGUAGAAUGAACCGGCGAGUUACGAUUUGUUGCAAGGUUAAGCGGAAAAAGCGGAGCCGUAGCGAAAGCGAGUCUGAAUAGGGCGCAUAAGUAACAGGUCGUAGACCCGAAACCAGGUGAUCUACCCAUGUCCAGGAUGAAGGUAAGGUAAUACUUACUGGAGGUCCGAACCCACGCACGUUGAAAAGUGCGGGGAUGAGGUGUGGGUAGCGGAGAAAUUCCAAUCGAACUUGGAGAUAGCUGGUUCUCUCCGAAAUAGCUUUAGGGCUAGCCUCGAGGUAAAGAGUCAUGGAGGUAGAGCACUGUUUGGACUAGGGGCCCUUCUCGGGUUACCGAAUUCAGAUAAACUCCGAAUGCCAUGUACUUAUACUCGGGAGUCAGACUGCGAGUGAUAAGAUCCGUAGUCGAAAGGGAAACAGCCCAGACCACCAGUUAAGGUCCCCAAAUAUAUGUUAAGUGGAAAAGGAUGUGGGGUUGCUUAGACAACCAGGAUGUUGGCUUAGAAGCAGCCACCAUUGAAAGAGUGCGUAAUAGCUCACUGGUCGAGUGACCCCGCGCCGAAAAUGUACCGGGGCUAAACAUAUUACCGAAACUGUGGAUGAACCUCUUUAGAGGUUCGUGGUAGGAGAGCGUUCUAAGGGCGGUGAAGUCAGACCGGAAGGACUGGUGGAGCGCUUAGAAGUGAGAAUGCCGGUAUGAGUAGCGAAAGAAGGGUGAGAAUCCCUUCCACCGAAUAUCUAAGGUUUCCUGAGGAAGGCUCGUCCGCUCAGGGUUAGUCGGGACCUAAGCUGAGGCCGAUAGGCGUAGGCGAUGGACAACAGGUAGAGAUUCCUGUACCAGUGCUAAUUGUUUAACCGAUGGGGUGACACAGAAGGAUAGGGAAUCGCACGAAUGGAAAUGUGCGUCCAAGCAGUGAGUGUGAGAAGUAGGCAAAUCCGCUUCUCGCGAAGCAUGAGCUGUGAUGGGGAAGGAAAUUAAGUACGGAAGUUCCUGAUUUCACGCUGUCAAGAAAAGCCUCUAGGAAGAGUAGUACUGCCCGUACCGCAAACCGACACAGGUAGAUGAGGAGAGAAUCCUAAGGUGAGCGAGAGAACUCUCGUUAAGGAACUCGGCAAAAUGACCCCGUAACUUCGGGAGAAGGGGUGCUCUAUUAGGGUGCAAGCCCGAGAGAGCCGCAGUGAAUAGGCCCAGGCGACUGUUUAGCAAAAACACAGGUCUCUGCAAAACCGUAAGGUGACGUAUAGGGGCUGACGCCUGCCCGGUGCUGGAAGGUUAAGAGGAGUGCUUAGCUUCGGCGAAGGUACGAAUUGAAGCCCCAGUAAACGGCGGCCGUAACUAUAACGGUCCUAAGGUAGCGAAAUUCCUUGUCGGGUAAGUUCCGACCCGCACGAAAGGCGCAACGAUCUGGGCACUGUCUCAACGAGAGACUCGGUGAAAUUAUAGUACCUGUGAAGAUGCAGGUUACCCGCGACAGGACGGAAAGACCCCGUGGAGCUUUACUGCAACCUGAUAUGGAAUGUUUGUACCGCUUGUACAGGAUAGGUAGGAGCCGAAGAGACGUGUGCGCUAGCAUACGAGGAGGCAAUGGUGGGAUACUACCCUGGCUGUAUGACCAUUCUAACCCGCCACGCUUAGCGCGUGGGGAGACAGUGUCAGGUGGGCAGUUUGACUGGGGCGGUCGCCUCCUAAAGAGUAACGGAGGCGCCCAAAGGUUCCCUCAGAAUGGAUGGAAAUCAUUCGCAGAGUGUAAAGGCACAAGGGAGCUUGACUGCGAGACUGACAAGUCGAGCAGGGACGAAAGUCGGGCUUAGUGAUCCGGUGGUUCCGCAUGGAAGGGCCAUCGCUCAACGGAUAAAAGCUACCCCGGGGAUAACAGGCUUAUCUCCCCCAAGAGUCCACAUCGACGGGGAGGUUUGGCACCUCGAUGUCGGCUCGUCGCAUCCUGGGGCUGUAGUCGGUCCCAAGGGUUGGGCUGUUCGCCCAUUAAAGCGGCACGCGAGCUGGGUUCAGAACGUCGUGAGACAGUUCGGUCCCUAUCCGUCGCGGGCGCAGGAAAUUUGAGAGGAGCUGUCCUUAGUACGAGAGGACCGGGAUGGACACACCGCUGGUGUACCAGUUGUUCCGCCAGGAGCAUCGCUGGGUAGCUAUGUGUGGCAGGGAUAAACGCUGAAAGCAUCUAAGCGUGAAGCCCCCCUCAAGAUGAGAUUUCCCAUUUCUUCGGAAAGUAAGAUCCCUGAAAGAUGAUCAGGUAGAUAGGUUUGGAGUGGAAGUGUAGCGAUACAUGGAGCGGACAAAUACUAAUCGAUCGAGGACUUAACCAAAA
This 2521-nucleotide ribosomal RNA is filed under the name Listeria monocytogenes. Its description in RNAcentral is "partial 23S ribosomal RNA". It matches the Rfam family "Bacterial large subunit ribosomal RNA", at positions 408 to 2925 of the family's 2925-position model. Lineage: Bacteria; Bacillati; Bacillota; Bacilli; Caryophanales; Listeriaceae. The record is from RNAcentral.